RNAcentral lists this long non-coding RNA (1733 nucleotides) under Brassica napus (rape). Its description in RNAcentral is "long non-coding RNA (BNAP_LNC003479)". The record is from RNAcentral. Lineage: Eukaryota; Viridiplantae; Streptophyta; Magnoliopsida; Brassicales; Brassicaceae.
UCAAAAUUAAAACCUCAAAUAAAAACAUCAUGUACGAAUUAUUUUUUUAACAAUAUAUUAUUAUUAAUAAUCGAUCCGUAAACGGAAAUAAGUACAACUCACACAAAAUUACACAAUUCAACCAUAUUGUAUCUACCUUUGCUCAACCUAUAUUCCGGCGCGUUCUGGUAAAUCGAAUCAAGUAUCCUCAUGCAUCAAUUACUGUUCUGUGCCUUUGACGAUGGCCACGGGAAGGAGAGAUUCACCUUGUUGCUUCGGAGUAGCUAGUUUUUUUAUAUAAAUUUUGUCUUAGAAUGCAUCGAAACCUUCAUUGAAUCACCAAAAUGAAACUGAAAAAAGAAAACCAAAGACUAACCAAGUAGCAAUCUUAGACCGGCUGUACACACUUUUCUCAAACGCCAAAUAUCGGAGCAGAUAAUGAACCCAAGAUGGACUCCUCACCGGCUCCGAAAAAAAAACAAGCCGCAAGGACCGAUGAGCCAAAAUGCCUCUGCUAAAACAAACCUGCAGAAGACGGGCACAAAACAGCAACUAUUCUAGCACCAGAUAAAAAUCAACGACAUGCAAAAGUAAUAGAAACAACAUUGUCAAGACUGCUUGAUAACAUCAGAAGGCACUAGGAUACCGAAGCUCCGCAUUGAGUCACAGAAGGGAGCCAGAGGUUCAUAGACCACACAAACCCCUACUCUCCUCACAACACGCCACUGUCGAGAACCGAGCAGAAGUAACCUUAACCGUCAAAUUGUUGAAAACCAGUGACUAUGGCCAACUAGCCAAACUAUACACGAACAAAGCAACUAGGAAGCUAUCGACAAGCUUCAAGUGUUGAACUGAUACUAGAAUCUAGAAGAGGUAAACAAAAGAAAGAGAGACCACCAGCAAUACAAUGGUGGAGCCAUAGGCGACCCAAACAAACCGAACGCCAAGAACCUCCACCCGGGAACACCGCAAGAUCCAUACACACCAAACAUGUUGGCUAUAACUGUUCCCUCAAGUAACAGAACCUCCGAGGCUGUCAUGUUACGAAAGAGACAGGGCAAAACUCACCGAGACACCAAGGCUGAGUCACUGUGCCAGACAACGCCACCGCUUUGGCAAAGCUAGGAAGCAGAUCCGGAAAUCCACGAGCCAUAAUUCUGAAAGCUUGAAACUUCCUCCAUACGCCGCUGAAAUGCUAGAGAGAAAAGAUGAAAAAGCCCUCAUGAACCCUAAAAACCGAGCCCCUCUGACAGAAACAGAUUUGACUCCGCACUACGACUCCAGAGCGUACAAAGUUCAACCCGGUGUCGAGCCUCUUCGCGAGCAGAGGACUAGCCGUGAAAACCUUCAGAGACAAAAUCGAACAAAGUGAAGAGAAACAGAGGCUACAGAGAAGCCAAAGAAAAAUCGAGCUAGGGAGGAAGAGAAAGCCGCCUCCGGCGCCGCUCGCACGCGCCAUCCGAAUGCCAGAGCACACCAGAUCUGAAAAAUUGAAGUAGAGAUAGAGUUAGGUGAGGAGAGAGAGGAGGGAAAUACUUUGAUCAAGUGCAAUAUUCUUUUUAUGAAUGUUGAUCAAAGUAAAAUACAAUAUAGAUAAUAUAACUGAAUACAACAUUUUUUUGUCAUCUAUUAGAUUAAAACUUGAAUCAAAUAUAUUCUUUCACUAAGUCGAGAAAUAUAUGAUUCCUUUCCGAAAUCAUAAGCCAGCGUGGUAUAAGAUAACACCCGGAUACAAAAGAAAGACCUAAAUCAAA